RNAcentral lists this transfer RNA (76 nucleotides) under Actinidia chinensis (golden kiwifruit). Its description in RNAcentral is "tRNA-Lys". It matches the Rfam family "tRNA". From Rfam's summary of the family: Transfer RNA (tRNA) molecules are approximately 80 nucleotides in length. Their secondary structure includes four short double-helical elements and three loops (D, anti-codon, and T loops). The record is from RNAcentral. RNAcentral also lists the same sequence under 81 other names. Lineage: Eukaryota; Viridiplantae; Streptophyta; Magnoliopsida; Ericales; Actinidiaceae.
GGGUUGCUAACUCAACGGUAGAGUACUCGGCUUUUAACCAUCCGACUAGUUCCGGGUUCGAAUCCCGGGCAACCCA